Molecule: ribosomal RNA, 492 nt
Filed under: uncultured bacterium
Lineage: Bacteria
Description: partial 16S ribosomal RNA
Rfam family: Bacterial small subunit ribosomal RNA
Source: RNAcentral
AGUGAACGCUGGCGGUAGGCCUAACACAUGCCAGUCGAACGGCAGCACAGUAAGAGCUUGCUCUUACGGGUGGCGAGUGGCGGACGGGUGAGGAAUACAUCGGAAUCUACUUUUUCGUGGGGGAUAACGUAGGGAAACUUACGCUAAUACCGCAUACGACCUACGGGUGAAAGCAGGGGAUCUUCGGACCUUGCGCGAUUGAAUGAGCCGAUGUCGGAUUAGCUAGUUGGCGGGGUAACGGCCCACCAAGGCGGCGAUCCGUAGCUGGUCUGAGAGGAGGAUCAGCCACACUGGAACUGAGACACGGUCCAGACUCCUACGGGAGGCAGCAGUGGGGAAUAUUGGACAAUGGGCGCAAGCCUGAUCCAGCCAUACCGCGUGGGUGAAGAAGGCCUUCGGGUUGUAAAGCCCUUUUGUUGGGAAAGAAAAGCAGCAGGUUAAUACCCCGCUGUUCUGACGGUACCCAAAGAAUAAGCACCGGCUAACUUCGUG